CUGUGAAAAUGCUUGAACCAAAAUAGAGAGCAUCGAUGGCUUUCUUUGGAGGUGGGUGUUUGAGCUGAGAUGAUGAGAAGAAGCUGUCUCUUACUUGAACUCAUUGCACACAUUUAUAUAUGAAUCUAUCUUUGUUAAUAAUUUUAGUUACAUGGGGUUUUUGGAUUUAAUUUUAGUCAUGAUAUUAGGCUUUUGUGUAUCAGGCCAACUCUAAUGAGACACUAAAACACCAAAUUUGGUAUAAUUUCAUUUCCAAUAAAACACUAAAAACUACAUCGUUCCAUCAAAUUUGGUAUAGAGUAAAUAGUGUUACACUA
RNAcentral lists this long non-coding RNA (317 nucleotides) under Brassica napus (rape). RNAcentral's name for it is "long non-coding RNA (BNAP_LNC001019)". Lineage: Eukaryota; Viridiplantae; Streptophyta; Magnoliopsida; Brassicales; Brassicaceae. The record is from RNAcentral.